AUGUAUGUGCACAAUGGGGUUAAGCUGCUGCAUAGACGAAGAACACCGGCUGUUUUGCUGAAGUUGGAUAUCGCCCGUGCUUUUGACAGUAUCUCCUGGGAAUAUUUACUUGAGCUUCUUCAAAACCUAGGCUUUAGCGCAAGGUGGAGAGAUUGGAUUGCUUUGAUGCUGUCGACUUCAAGCUCAGCAGUCAUGCUCAAUGGUGUGUCGGGGAUGGAACUGCUACACCAGUGCGGCCUGCGGCAGGGAGAUCCCCUCUCCCCGCUGUUGUUCAUGCUCGCAAUCGACCCGUUGCACCGCCUGCUGCAGCUUGCGACCAAGAGAGGCCUGAUCAACCCGCUGUCAGGUCGGGAGUUGAAGCUUCGGGUGAGCUUAUACGCAGAUGAUGCAAUCCUCUUCGCAGACCCGAAUGCUGAAGAGAUCGAGGCUCUAAUGAGCAUUCUCAACAAUUUUGGGGAAGCAACGGGGCUGAAGAUAAACCUCCACAAAUCAACUGCGACUCCAAUUCGCUGUGAUGACAUCGACAUGACUGAGAUCCUAUGGAGCUUCGGAGAGCAAACAAAGUUUUUUCCCAUAACCUACCUUGGGUUGCCGAUCACGCCCUCGAGGAUCAGAAUGGUGCACCUUCACUUUGUGAUCGACCGCAUCCGAGCGCGGUUGGCAGGCUGGAAACAGAAGCUACUGAGCAUCGCUGGGCGACGGUUUCUUGUGUGUUCACUUCUGUCAGCCCUGCCAACAUUCACCUUCACCGCCCUGCGAGUGCCAAAAAAGCUGCUCAGGGAGAUUGACAAGUCCAGCGACGAUUUCUCUGGGCCCAUGACAAAGAGAUGA
This 831-nucleotide ribosomal RNA is filed under the name Triticum aestivum (bread wheat). RNAcentral describes it as "partial small subunit ribosomal RNA". The record is from RNAcentral. Lineage: Eukaryota; Viridiplantae; Streptophyta; Magnoliopsida; Poales; Poaceae.